This 254-nucleotide ribosomal RNA is filed under the name uncultured bacterium. Its description in RNAcentral is "partial 16S ribosomal RNA". It matches the Rfam family "Bacterial small subunit ribosomal RNA", at positions 524 to 776 of the family's 1533-position model. The record is from RNAcentral.
UACGAAGGGGGCUAGCGUUGUUCGGAAUUACUGGGCGUAAAGCGUAUGCAGGCGGAUCGUUAAGUCGGGGGUGAAAUCCCGAGGCUCAACCUCGGAACUGCCUUCGAUACUGGCGACCUUCGAGUCCGGGAGAGGUGAGUGGAACUCCGAGUGUAGAGGUGAAAUUCGUGGAUAUUCGGAAGAACACCAGUGGCGAAGGCGGCUCACUGGCCCGGUACUGACGCUGAGAUACGAAAGCGUGGGGAGCAAACAGG